This 206-nucleotide ribosomal RNA is filed under the name uncultured bacterium. RNAcentral describes it as "partial 16S ribosomal RNA". It matches the Rfam family "Bacterial small subunit ribosomal RNA", at positions 1295 to 1500 of the family's 1533-position model. The record is from RNAcentral.
AGAUUGCAGGCUGAAACUCGCCUGCAUGAAGUCGGAAUUGCUAGUAAUCGCAGAUCAGCAUGCUGCGGUGAAUACGUUCCCGGGCCUUGUACACACCGCCCGUCACACCAUGGGAGUCGGUAACACCCGAAGCCUGUAGUCUAACCGCAAGGAGGACGCAGUCGAAGGUGGGAUUGAUGACUGGGAUGAAGUCGUAACAAGGUAGC